UGCGCAGGCGGUUGAGUAAGACAGAUGUGAAAUCCCCGAGCUUAACUCGGGAAUGGCAUAUGUGACUGCUCGGCUAGAGUGUGUCAGAGGGAGGUGGAAUUCCACGUGUAGCAGUGAAAUGCGUAGAUAUGUGGAAGAACACCGAUGGCGAAGGCAGCCUCCUGGGACAUAACUGAGCUCAGGCACGAAAGCGUGGGAGCAAACA
RNAcentral lists this ribosomal RNA (205 nucleotides) under uncultured bacterium. RNAcentral describes it as "partial 16S ribosomal RNA". It matches the Rfam family "Bacterial small subunit ribosomal RNA", at positions 568 to 774 of the family's 1533-position model. The record is from RNAcentral.